Molecule: transfer RNA, 97 nt
Filed under: Planctomycetota bacterium
Lineage: Bacteria; Pseudomonadati; Planctomycetota
Description: Planctomycetes bacterium (marine metagenome) tRNA-Sec
Rfam family: Selenocysteine transfer RNA
Source: RNAcentral
GGGAGUGGAUCCGGGCUGGUGUCCGGUGCGGCCUUCAAAGCCGUUGGGGUGGCGUUCGGCGUCGCCCGGUGGGUUCGAUUCCCAUGCACUCCCGCCA